This 509-nucleotide ribosomal RNA is filed under the name uncultured bacterium. RNAcentral describes it as "bacterial SSU rRNA". It matches the Rfam family "Bacterial small subunit ribosomal RNA", at positions 15 to 518 of the family's 1533-position model. The record is from RNAcentral.
GAUUAUGGCUCAGGAUGAACGCUAGCUACAGGCUUAACACAUGCAAGUCGAGGGGCAGCAUGGGGUAGCAAUACUCAGAUGGCGACCGGCGCACGGGUGAGUAACACGUAUCCAACCUGCCGCUUACUCGGGGAUAGCCUUUCGAAAGAAAGAUUAAUACCCGAUGGUAUAAAGAGUUCGCAUGUUCUCUUUAUUAAAGAAUUUCGGUAAGCGAUGGGGAUGCGUUCCAUUAGAUAGUUGGCGGGGUAACGGCCCACCAAGUCUACGAUGGAUAGGGGUUCUGAGAGGAAGGUCCCCCACAUUGGAACUGAGACACGGUCCAAACUCCUACGGGAGGCAGCAGUGAAGAAUAUUGGCCAAUGGACGAGAGUCUGAACCAGCCAAGUAGCGUGAAGGAUGACUGCCCUAUGGGUUGUAAACUUCUUUUAUAAGGGAAUAAAGUGAGGGACGUGUCCCUUUUUGUAUGUACCUUAUGAAUAAGGAUCGGCUAACUCCGUGCCAGCAGCAGC